This 401-nucleotide ribosomal RNA is filed under the name uncultured bacterium. RNAcentral's name for it is "bacterial SSU rRNA". It matches the Rfam family "Bacterial small subunit ribosomal RNA", at positions 30 to 432 of the family's 1533-position model. The record is from RNAcentral.
AUUGAACGCUGGCGGCAUGCCUUACACAUGCAAGUCGAACGGCAGCACGGGAGCAAUCCUGGUGGCGAGUGGCGAACGGGUGAGUAAUAUAUCGGAACGUGCCCAGUCGUGGGGGAUAACGUAGCGAAAGCUACGCUAAUACCGCAUACGAUCUAUGGAUGAAAGCGGGGGAUCGCAAGACCUCGCGCGAUUGGAGCGGCCGAUAUCAGAUUAGGUAGUUGGUGAGGUAAAGGCUCACCAAGCCGACGAUCUGUAGCUGGUCUGAGAGGACGACCAGCCANACUGGGACUGAGACACGGCCCAGACUCCUACGGAGGCAGCAGUGGGGAAUUUUUGGACAAUGGGCGCAAGCCUGAUCCAGCAAUGCCGCGUGCAGGAUGAAGGCCUCGGUUGUAACGUAG